GUCGAGCGGCGGACGGGUGAGUAAUGCCUAGGAAAUUGCCCUGAUGUGGGGGAUAACCAUUGGAAACGAUGGCUAAUACCGCAUAAUGCCUACGGGCCAAAGAGGGGGACCUUCGGGCCUCUCGCGUCAGGAUAUGCCUAGGUGGGAUUAGCUAGUUGGUGAGGUAAUGGCUCACCAAGGCGACGAUCCCUAGCUGGUCUGAGAGGAUGAUCAGCCACACUGGAACUGAGACACGGUCCAGACUCCUACGGGAGGCAGCAGUGGGGAAUAUUGCACAAUGGGCGCAAGCCUGAUGCAGCCAUGCCGCGUGUGUGAAGAAGGCCUUCGGGUUGUAAAGCACUUUCAGUCGUGAGGAAGGUGGUGUAGUUAAUAGCUGCAUUAUUUGACGUUAGCGACAGAAGAAGCACCGGCUAACUCCGUGCCAGCAGCCGCGGUAAUACGGAGGGUGCGAGCGUUAAUCGGAAUUACUGGGCGUAAAGCGCAUGCAGGUGGUUUGUUAAGUCAGAUGUGAAAGCCCGGGGCUCAACCUCGGAAUAGCAUUUGAAACUGGCAGACUAGAGUACUGUAGAGGGGGGGUAGAAUUUCAGGUGUAGCGGUGAAAUGCGUAGAGAUCUGAAGGAAUACCGGUGGCGAAGGCGGCCCCCUGGACAGAUACUGACACUCAGAUGCGAAAGCGUGGGGAGCAAACAGGAUUAGAUACCCUGGUAGUCCACGCCGUAAACGAUGUCUACUUGGAGGUUGUGGCCUUGAGCCGUGGCUUUCGGAGCUAACGCGUUAAGUAGACCGCCUGGGGAGUACGGUCGCAAGAUUAAAACUCAAAUGAAUUGACGGGGGCCCGCACAAGCGGUGGAGCAUGUGGUUUAAUUCGAUGCAACGCGAAGAACCUUACCUACUCUUGACAUCCAGAGAACUUUCCAGAGAUGGAUUGGUGCCUUCGGGAACUCUGAGACAGGUGCUGCAUGGCUGUCGUCAGCUCGUGUUGUGAAAUGUUGGGUUAAGUCCCGCAACGAGCGCAACCCUUAUCCUUGUUUGCCAGCGAGUAAUGUCGGGAACUCCAGGGAGACUGCCGGUGAUAAACCGGAGGAAGGUGGGGACGACGUCAAGUCAUCAUGGCCCUUACGAGUAGGGCUACACACGUGCUACAAUGGCGCAUACAGAGGGCAGCAAGCUAGCGAUAGUGAGCGAAUCCCAAAAAGUGCGUCGUAGUCCGGAUUGGAGUCUGCAACUCGACUCCAUGAAGUCGGAAUCGCUAGUAAUCGUGGAUCAGAAUGCCACGGUGAAUACGUUCCCGGGCCUUGUACACACCGCCCGUCACACCAUGGGAGUGGGCUGCAAAAGAAGU
RNAcentral lists this ribosomal RNA (1342 nucleotides) under Vibrio sp. JZ08ML71. Its description in RNAcentral is "16S ribosomal RNA". It matches the Rfam family "Bacterial small subunit ribosomal RNA", at positions 90 to 1427 of the family's 1533-position model. The record is from RNAcentral. Lineage: Bacteria; Pseudomonadati; Pseudomonadota; Gammaproteobacteria; Vibrionales; Vibrionaceae.